GGCUCAGGACGAACGCUGGCGGCGUGCUUAACACAUGCAAGUCGAACGGUGACGACGGGGCUUGCCCUGUCUGAUCAGUGGCGAACGGGUGAGUAACACGUGAGUAACCUGCCCUUGACUCUGGGAUAACCGCGGGAAACGGCGGCUAAUACCGGAUAUGAGACGUACAGGCAUCUGUUGCGUCUGGAAAGAUUUAUCGGUCAAGGAUGGGCUCGCGGCCUAUCAGCUUGUUGGUGGGGUGAAGGCCUACCAAGGCGACGACGGGUAGCCGGCCUGAGAGGGCGACCGGCCACACUGGGACUGAGACACGGCCCAGACUCCUACGGGAGGCAGCAGUGGGGAAUAUUGCACAAUGGGCGCAAGCCUGAUGCAGCGACGCCGCGUGAGGGAUGAAGGCCUUCGGGUUGUAAACCUCUUUCAGCAGGGA
Molecule: ribosomal RNA, 427 nt
Filed under: Cellulomonas sp.
Lineage: Bacteria; Bacillati; Actinomycetota; Actinomycetes; Micrococcales; Cellulomonadaceae
Description: bacterial SSU rRNA
Rfam family: Bacterial small subunit ribosomal RNA
Source: RNAcentral